AGGUGCCAGUCAUCUCUGAGGUAUAGAAAUAGCUCCAUCUUCCUGGAAUCCAGUGUCUAGUGGAUUAUUCAUUUGGGACCUAAGUACCACUUCUGGAGGCCCCCUCCAACUGAGUAAACUGUCUUUGGAUCAGGCUUGGUUAGGUUCAACUGCAUGUAACUGCAAAUCCAAACGAAUAGAGCUUAAAAUAAGACUAGUGUUGAUUUUUCCAAUUUUAAAAAGAGAACUGGAGAUAGGCAGCUGCACAACAUCAGUGGGAAUUCUGUCUCCUUUCAGUUCACCAGCCAUCUGCUAUCCAUCAGAUGUGGCAAUAUCCUCAUGAUCUAAAGCAAUGGCUAGAGCUCCAGCCAUUCUAGGAUGCAGGAUGGAGGAAAGGAAGAAGAGCAUGUCGCCUUCCUUUCAAGGAAAUAUCCUGUUGAAGAAGUCCGGCGCCGGAGGAAAGCCAGAGACCACGGAGACGCGGGCUUCGGCUUCCUAGAGAGGUAGCACGCGACACUUGGGCGCCGUGGCCGACGUGGUGACGCACUUCCGGUCGUGCCGCAGUGCGCCUUUCCUGAGGUGAGUUUUCAGGGUUCCUGAACCGACUGGGAACACACCUGUCACCGCUGGAAAAGGCAGUCGCCUUCGUCCUUGAUGCCGUGGUGGAAGGAGUCGGGUGGCGCCACCGGGUCCGGGGAGCGAGGGCGGCCUGCUGGCCAGUUCCGCUUGCCCUCGCCCUCGGUGCCUUCAUCCCAACCCGCCGGGGCCGCCCCCGGAAAUGGGGCUGUGGAUGGAAAGAACACGCCGUUUGACUAGACACAGCCAUAACCUCCCCUGCCCCCUGGGCCGAAGACUUCUCACAGAGCAGUUAAAUGCCAGCUGCUGUUCUAGGUUCCCAAGAUGCAGCUGCGAAUGAGACGGCCUUGGGCCCCUCUCUCAGGGAGCUUUCAGUUUAAUGGAAAGUCACCUAUUAAUCCAGUGGUAUCAUUUCAUCAUUUUAAUGGAAAGUCACCUAUUAAUCCAGUGCUAUCAUUUCAUCAUUUCACUCCGCCUAACCCGAACCAGUAGUUGUGGUCUUGGUUUUACGUUGAAGACCAAGUCCUUGACGUGCAUGAGGCUCUGCGUGACUUGGUCUCUUGCACCUUCUUCACACUCAUAUUCACACUCCCCUUGGCUCGGCUACAGACUUUAACUUUACAAACAUGCAUUUGCACGUGCUGUUACUUUUGUAAAGAUUUUCCUUUUGAUCUAGUUAAUUUCUAUUCUUAAGCGUCCCCAUCUACCAUAAAUUGCCCCCGACGCUAAUCACAAUUGUGGCCUUAAAAGCUAAUUAUGAGAAUCUUUGAUUGAUACCUGUGUUUCCUUUAGUCUAAAGUAAACUCCAUGAUGGAAGGGAUCACACCUUUCUUCACUGUAUCUCCCGUGCCUCACACUUGGCCUGAAAUGAAUUAAGCCUGUGAUAAAUGUUUGUUGGAUGAAGAAAACACAAAUAAGUGUAUAAUCCAAACCAGAAGAGGUGGUAUGUAAGAAAGGGAAUACAGUGCUAGUGGAGUGUGUAAUCUCAGGCCUGAUCUGGUGUGUAGAGACAGGCUAGGAUCUGAAGGGUGAACUGGUGUUAUCUAGAGAGGCCAGGCUGCUAGAGAGUUCUGCACCAGAGAACAUCAGGUACAAAAGUUCUAAGGUUGGAGAAGAGUGGUUCAUGCAGAGGAAACAGCAGGUACAAAGGUCCUGAGCUAGCAUAGUAGAGAAACUGAAGGGAGACCACCGUGGCUAAAUUAAGAGAAAGGAGGAGAUGGUAUAAGAUGAGGCUAGCAGGAAAUCGCAGUAUGCAGUGAGUUUCUUUUAGAAAGAUGCUGGCUUUUUGGUAGAAUAUGACUGCUUGACAAGAAUUCAGUGUCUCUAGGGGAUGAUAUAAUUAAAGUAAUAACCUGAACAUCUUAGUAUGUUGAAGUGGCCUUUUCAUGGUCCUUUGCUAAUUGGUUUCGGGCUUUCACUGGAUCCUAGAAUGGAGUGAUGAACAAAAAAUAUGCUUGCCACAAGGUCCAAGAAAGAGAAACCUUACUCUGAGAUUCUUUUUCUGAAUUUUUUGGGCUACAUUUACCUAUUCUUAAUAUUAGCCUUAGAAUUGCUUUAUUAAGUUCUUAAAAAAAUUCGAUUGGGAUUACAAUGGGAAGCAUUUUGUUGUAGUUAUUAAAAGCAUGGACUUUAGAAUUUGGCCUAUCUGGUUUGGGAUCCAGGUUCAUCCUUCCACUGACCGAGUGACCUUGGUAGAGAAAACUAUUUUCUUAGACUCUUUUUUUCUUAUUUGAGAAAAAGAAAAAGUUCAAAGGAUUAUUGUGGAGACUGAAUGAGAAGGUGUGUAUUUUUCAUCCAAAAACAUAUUUCUAUUUUUUUCUGAUUUUUAAAAUUUUUUUAAUAUUUUUAAGAAAAAUAGAUUUUUUAUUGCUCAGUCAUUUCAGAUUCGUCUGACUUACAAACUAAUAACAUAAUGUUCAAAUACAAUUUAAUGUUUUUUUCUGAUUUUUUAAAGUAUAGUUGAUUUAUAAUGUUUUCUUCAUUUUCUGUUGUACAGCAAAGUGACCUAAUCACACACGGUUCCCUUUGCUCUAUGUAGGAGCGCAUUCAUUGCCCAUCCAUUCCAAAUGUUACAGUUUCUAUCCACCAACCCCAAACUCCCCGUCCAUCCCACUUCCUCCCACUGUGGGUAUUUUUUUUUUAAUUUUUAUAUUUCUCAAUACAUUUUUUUUUAAAUAAAGGUCUAGGUUUCCUGUUGUUAUGGCUUGCUUUGAGUUUUCUGGUGUCUUUUGCUUGUUUUGCUCUUUGCGUAUUCAUGUUUCCCUGUCUUCAUGUCUUAGGACAGGCAGUGUUGAAUGAUGGUGGUGAGUACAGGGUGCCCAAGGGCAGGUUACAUACCUUUCAAAUUAACGGUUUCCUCAGAAUUCAAACCUUGAGGAAUAGUGUGGAGUAAAAGAGGAGAUAUUUAUAUACCAUUUACUGAAGGACAUUUAGUAAGUGAUUGCAGCUGCUGUUAUUGGCAGGUUAUUUUAAAGGAGAGCCUUUGGGGAGUUCCCACUGUGGCUCAGCGGUAAGGAACCUGACUAGUAUCCAUGAGGAUGUGGGUUCGAUCCCUGGCCUUGCUCAGUGGGUUAAGGAUCUGGUGCACUGCCCCAAGCUGCGGUGUAUGUUGCAAAUGUGGCUCAGAUCCACUGUUACUGUGGCUGUGGUGUAGGCUGGCAGCUGUAGUUCCGAUUCGAUGCCUAGCCUGGGAACUUCCAUAUGCCAAGGGUGCGGACCUAAGUGGACCUUAAAAAAAAAAAAAAAAAAA
Molecule: long non-coding RNA, 3304 nt
Filed under: Sus scrofa (pig)
Lineage: Eukaryota; Metazoa; Chordata; Mammalia; Artiodactyla; Suidae
Description: lncRNA (ENSSSCG00030070942.1)
Source: RNAcentral